AUGAAAGCCAAGAACCAGAUCAUGACUCAUGUGAGCCAAAACAUCAGCAGCACAGUUUUGUUCACGAAACGCAUGUUUGAGAGAACAAAACCAAUCCUACUGCAUCUUCAACUUGCAACAAUUUAUCAAGCUAAAAAGAGAAUGAGUGGAAGCAAUGGAACCAGCAAGAAGAGACACCCAUCAGUAGAACCAACACCCAGAUUGACAGAAAAGCCCUUAAUCCAAUUCCCUGCAGAAUUUCUAAUCAAGCCACCUGCUCCAAUGCCUCUCAAAUUAUAG
RNAcentral lists this long non-coding RNA (279 nucleotides) under Prunus dulcis (almond). RNAcentral's name for it is "sRNA ncRNA". The record is from RNAcentral. Lineage: Eukaryota; Viridiplantae; Streptophyta; Magnoliopsida; Rosales; Rosaceae.